RNAcentral lists this ribosomal RNA (474 nucleotides) under uncultured bacterium. RNAcentral describes it as "bacterial SSU rRNA". It matches the Rfam family "Bacterial small subunit ribosomal RNA", at positions 327 to 793 of the family's 1533-position model. The record is from RNAcentral.
AGCAGAGCACUCCUACGGGAGGCAGCAGUAGGGAAUCUUCGGCAAUGGACGAAAGUCUGACCGAGCAACGCCGCGUGAGUGAAGAAGGUUUUCGGAUCGUAAAACUCUGUUGUUAGAGAAGAACAAGUGAUAGAGUAACUGCUAUCACCUUGACGGUAUCUAACCAGAAAGCCACGGCUAACUACGUGCCAGCAGCCGCGGUAAUACGUAGGUGGCAAGCGUUGUCCGGAUUUAUUGGGCGUAAAGCGAGCGCAGGCGGUCUUUUAAGUCUGAUGUGAAAGCCCUCGGCUCAACCGAGGAAGGUCAUUGGAAACUGGAAGACUUGAGUGCAGAAGAGGAGAGUGGAAUUCCAUGUGUAGCGGUGAAAUGCGUAGAUAUAUGGAGGAACACCAGUGGCGAAGGCGACUCUCUGGUCUGUAACUGACGCUGAGGCUCGAAAGCGUGGGGAGCAAACAGGAUUAGAUACCCUGGUAG